Molecule: long non-coding RNA, 260 nt
Organism: Triticum aestivum (bread wheat)
Lineage: Eukaryota; Viridiplantae; Streptophyta; Magnoliopsida; Poales; Poaceae
Exons: 2
Source: RefSeq, a predicted model, not a curated record
CUACCGAGCAAUGACGAAUCAAGUGAAAUACUCAACAAUAAUGAAGUGGAGGAAAAUAAUUGCACGGAGAGCCCAGAGAAUACACCUAUUCUUGAAGAAAACAUAGCAAACAGAGAGACCAAAGAUUCUGAACAUACACAGAAAUUAACCCACAAUGAAACAAGUCAAUAAAUGGUGGCAACUGAGGACAAGAAUUGGCACAAACACCCCUCAUGGGAUCUGGCCAAAAUAAUGGAGCUCAAGGCGAUACAUUUCAUUGG